UUCAAUUCACCAUGUUUUAUUCAAAAUCUAAUAAAUAUGAAAACCAUUAACAAUUUUCAAUUGUGCGCAUAAAAUGAAGACAAUGUUGUUCUAAACAAGAGGAAUAAAGGUAAAAAUCACAUAUAAAAAAGAGAUCAACAACCUUUACAAAUUCAUAAAAAAUAUAAUAUUUCUUUCACAUGAUCCUCUUGACUCUUAACUUUUGGUCCCUAUAAAUUGUAUAACAAUUGUGUCAUCUUUCCUUGGUCACCAAAUAAAAAAUCGUCAAAAUACAAACAAGAAUCAAUAAAGAAGUACCGUAAGCAGCUCGACAUGCUUUGAUCAAACUUGCAUACGGUAAUGCCGUUUGAUAA
Long non-coding RNA from Dreissena polymorpha, 353 nucleotides. RefSeq lists it as uncharacterized. Lineage: Eukaryota; Metazoa; Mollusca; Bivalvia; Myida; Dreissenidae. The transcript is spliced from 2 exons. The record is from RefSeq and is a predicted model, not a curated record.